UACGGGGGGUGCAAGCGUUGUCCGGAAUCACUGGGCGUAAAGGGCGCGUAGGCGGGAUUGUAAGUCUGGGGUGAAAGUUCGGGGCUCAACCUCGAAUCUGCCUUGGAUACUGCAGUUCUUGAGUUCGGUAGAGGGAUGCGGAAUUCCUGGUGUAGCGGUGGAAUGCGUAGAUAUCAGGAAGAACACCGGUGGCGAAGGUGGCAUCCGGGCCCGAUACUGACGCUGAGGCGCGAAAGCGUGGGGAGCGAACAGG
RNAcentral lists this ribosomal RNA (253 nucleotides) under uncultured bacterium. RNAcentral describes it as "partial 16S ribosomal RNA". It matches the Rfam family "Bacterial small subunit ribosomal RNA", at positions 524 to 776 of the family's 1533-position model. The record is from RNAcentral.